GGCCUUGUGGGGCAGUGGACAGCCCGCCUGUCGAGCAGGAGCCAGGCGCUGCGAAAGGGUCGCGCCCUUAGCAUCCUGGGCAGAUCUAGAGCUGCGCGCCGGUUCGAAUCCGGCCAAGGCCC
RNAcentral lists this transfer RNA (122 nucleotides) under Bisbaumannia pacifica. RNAcentral describes it as "tRNA-OTHER". It matches the Rfam family "tRNA". Rfam says of the family: Transfer RNA (tRNA) molecules are approximately 80 nucleotides in length. Their secondary structure includes four short double-helical elements and three loops (D, anti-codon, and T loops). Further hydrogen bonds mediate the characteristic L-shaped molecular structure. tRNAs have two regions of fundamental functional importance: the anti-codon, which is responsible for specific mRNA codon recognition, and the 3' end, to which the tRNAs corresponding amino acid is attached (by aminoacyl-tRNA synthetases). tRNAs cope with the degeneracy of the genetic code in two manners: having more than one tRNA (with a specific anti-codon) for a particular amino acid; and 'wobble' base-pairing, i.e. permitting non-standard base-pairing at the 3rd anti-codon position. Lineage: Bacteria; Pseudomonadati; Pseudomonadota; Gammaproteobacteria; Oceanospirillales; Halomonadaceae. The record is from RNAcentral.